Long non-coding RNA from Dioscorea cayenensis subsp. rotundata (Guinea yam), 1317 nucleotides. RefSeq lists it as uncharacterized. The transcript has 12 exons. NCBI's taxonomy places the organism in Eukaryota, Viridiplantae, Streptophyta, Magnoliopsida, Dioscoreales, Dioscoreaceae. The record is from RefSeq and is a predicted model, not a curated record.
UCUCUCAUUCCCCAACGGAGAGAUCUAGUGCGCCUCUCCCUAACGGGGAAAUCUCGUGCGCCCUAAUUCCCCAACGAAGAAGCCCGACUUUUGCCGCUCCUGCCGUCGCUCUGCUGCCGCCAUGCACUAAUUCCCAACGCGGUCUCUCUCAAGAGAGCGAGCCCAGCGCGGCUUCACAGCCAUCAAGCCCAUCGCCCACUUCUUCACUUGUUGCUCCGCCAAGGAGGUUCUCGCCCCUUGGGUUUUCCCUGACCGGCUUCUUCCCUCCCGCUGAUUAGGUUUUUUGAUUAUUAAUUUUGAUCAGUUGGUGGUAGUGGUGGUGGUGAGAUUGUUGCGCAGGAUAUGUUUCUAUGAAGGCAUCUGGUUCUUUGGAGUCUGGAUAUGGUGUUGAUGAUGCAUUUGUGCUGGCUCAGGAGGUGAAGACGAGGGGGUUUGAUUUGUUGGUGGAGAUUAGCCUGACAUAGGUGUUUCUGAUUUAUGAGAAACAUCCUCUUGCGGCCAUGAAGGAAGAGGGGAAACCAGAUGCCCAGCUCUUCGAUCUCCUAUCAACCCUUCUCCAGCAGGCCCGAUACAGUGUUGAGCUUCAUCUCUCGUUCUUGAGGUUACAAGGAUAGGCUAAUGAUUUUAAAAUACAAUACAGCAGUGUUGUCUAACUCCUUCUACUGCCAAAGCUCACAGGAUUGUACAAUCAAGGUAUGGGAAACAACUCAGGGAAAGUUGAUCUGUGAAUUAAAGGGCAUGGACAUUGGGUUAACUCUCUUGCUUUGAGCACUGAAUAUACUUCGAAUUGGUCCUUUUGAUCACACUAGAAAGGCAUAUUCAUCCCCAGAGGGAAAAAAAGCGGUGGGUAUUGAGUUUUUGUGGUAGCCUUAGAAAGAUACAAUAAAAUGAAAGGAAAUGCUCCAGAAAGGCUGGUUUCAGGUUCUGAUGAUUUCACAAUGAUACUGUGGGAACCUUCUGUAAGCAAGCAUUCAAAAGCCUGAAUAACUGGUCAUCGACAGAGUGACAAUGAAUGCUUUUGUUUGAGAAGUGUAAUGUUCAGAGAAGGAAAUGACUCAGUCAUGGUUAGAUUUUGCAAAGUUUUCCAUUGCAUCAACUUCAGCAUUUGGUUCUUGAGAAAGAAGCAGAGUAAUUUUCAUAUCACCUACAAGGAUGCUGAGUUUGAGAAGGACCCGGGGGAAGCUUUUAAGGUUUUUGACAAAGACCAAAAUGGUUUAAUUUCUGCUGAUGCGGAGAAUUCAUAUUUAAAGAUCGAAAGGGUUGAAGAUUAAGAGGAUACGUGAAGCUUGUGUAAUUAAGUGAAGCUUGUGUAAUUAA